Molecule: ribosomal RNA, 550 nt
Filed under: uncultured bacterium
Lineage: Bacteria
Description: bacterial SSU rRNA
Rfam family: Bacterial small subunit ribosomal RNA
Source: RNAcentral
UAGGGAAUCUUCGGCAAUGGACGGAAGUCUGGCCGAGCAACGCCGCGUGAGUGAAGAAGGUUUUCGGAUCGUAAAGCUCUGUUGUAAGAGAAGAACGAGUGUGAGAGUGGAAAGUUCACACUGUGACGGUAUCUUACCAGAAAGGGACGGCUAACUACGUGCCAGCAGCCGCGGUAAUACGUAGGUCCCGAGCGUUGUCCGGAUUUAUUGGGCGUAAAGCGAGCGCAGGCGGUUAGAUAAGUCUGAAGUUAAAGGCUGUGGCUUAACCAUAGUACGCUUUGGAAACUGUUUAACUUGAGUGCAAGAGGGGAGAGUGGAAUUCCAUGUGUAGCGGUGAAAUGCGUAGAUAUAUGGAGGAACAUCGGUGGCGAAAGCGGCUCUCUGGCUUGUAACUGACGCUGAGGCUCGAAAGCGUGGGGAGCAAACAGGAUUAGAUACCCUGGUAGUCCACGCCGUAAACGAUGAGUGCUAGGUGUUAGACCCUUUCCGGGGUUUAGUGCCGCAGCUAACGCAUUAAGCACUCCGCCUGGGGAGUACGACCGCAAGGUUG